RNAcentral lists this ribosomal RNA (226 nucleotides) under uncultured bacterium. RNAcentral describes it as "partial 16S ribosomal RNA". It matches the Rfam family "Bacterial small subunit ribosomal RNA", at positions 524 to 745 of the family's 1533-position model. The record is from RNAcentral.
UACGAGGGGGGCAAGCGUUUGUUCGGAAUUAUUGGGCGUAAAGGGCGCGUAGGCGGUCUGAUAAGUCUUGUGUGGAAUCUCUGGGCUCAACCCAGAGUCUGCAUAGGAAACUGUCGGGCUUGAGUAUGGGGAGAGGUGCGUGGAAUUUCCGGUGUAGCGGUGAAAUGCGUAGAUAUCGGAAGGAACACCUGUGGCGAAAAGCGGCGCACUGGACCAAAAACUGACG